Molecule: ribosomal RNA, 454 nt
Filed under: uncultured bacterium
Lineage: Bacteria
Description: partial 16S ribosomal RNA
Rfam family: Bacterial small subunit ribosomal RNA
Source: RNAcentral
ACGGAAGGCAGCAGUGAGGAAUAUUGGACAAUGGAGGCAACUCUGAUCCAGCCAUGCCGCGUGAAGGACUAAGGCCCUACGGGUCGUAAACUUCUUUUGACGCAGGGCAAUAAGGCGUACGUGUACGCCGAUGAGAGUAUGCGUCGAAUAAGCAUCGGCUAACUCCGUGCCAGCAGCCGCGGUAAUACGGAGGAUGCAAGCGUUAUCCGGAUUUAUUGGGUUUAAAGGGUGCGUAGGCGGAUGAUUAAGUCAGUGGUGAAAGGUCCCGGCUCAACCGGGGAGCUGCCAUUGAUACUGGUCGUCUUGAGUGCGGAUGCCGUGGGAGGAAUGUGUGGUGUAGCGGUGAAAUGCAUAGAUAUCACACAGAACACCGAUUGCGAAGGCAUCUCACGAGUCCGUUAUUGACGCUGAGGCACGAAAGCGUGGGGAUCAAACAGGAUUAGAUACCCUGGUA